Molecule: ribosomal RNA, 274 nt
Filed under: uncultured bacterium
Lineage: Bacteria
Description: partial 16S ribosomal RNA
Rfam family: Bacterial small subunit ribosomal RNA
Source: RNAcentral
AUACGGAGGGGACUAGCGUUGUUCGGAAUUACUGGGCGUAAAGCGUACGUAGGCGGAUCAGAAAGUAUGGGGUGAAAUCCCAGGGCUCAACCCUGGAACUGCCUCAUAAACUCCUGGUCUUGAGUUCGAGAGAGGUGAGUGGAAUUCCGAGUGUAGAGGUGAAAUUCGUAGAUAUUCGGAGGAACACCAGUGGCGAAGGCGGCUCACUGGCUCGGUACUGACGCUGAGGUACGAAAGUGUGGGGAGCAAACAGGAUUAGAAACCCUAGUAGUCC